AAAUUUAGGAUACUUUAAACCAAGGGCCUUCAAAGCCCUAAAAAAGAGAUCACCCCUCUUAAUUUCU
RNAcentral lists this transfer RNA (67 nucleotides) under Cnemaspis bayuensis. RNAcentral describes it as "tRNA-Trp". Lineage: Eukaryota; Metazoa; Chordata; Lepidosauria; Squamata; Gekkonidae. The record is from RNAcentral.